RNAcentral lists this ribosomal RNA (468 nucleotides) under uncultured bacterium. Its description in RNAcentral is "partial 16S ribosomal RNA". It matches the Rfam family "Bacterial small subunit ribosomal RNA", at positions 28 to 507 of the family's 1533-position model. The record is from RNAcentral.
GACGAACGCUGGCGGCGUGCUUAACACAUGCAAGUCGAACGGAAAGGCCCUGCUUUUGUGGGGUGUUCGAGUGGCGAACGGGUGAGUAACACGUGAGUAACCUGCCCUUGACUUUGGGAUAACUUCAGGAAACUGGGGCUAAUACCGGAUAGGAGCUCCUGCUGCAUGGUGGGGGUUGGAAAGUUUCGGCGGUUGGGGACGGACUCGCGGCUUAUCAGCUUGUUGGUGGGGUAGUGGCUUACCAAGGCUUUGACGGGUAGCCGGCCUGAGGGGGUGACCGGCCACAUUGGGACUGAGAUACGGCCCAGACUCCUACGGGAGGCAGCAGUGGGGAAUAUUGCACAAUGGGCGGAAGCCUGAUGCAGCAACGCCGCGUGCGGGAUGACGGCCUUCGGGUUGUAAACCGCUUUCGCCUGUGACGAAGCGUGAGUGACGGUAAUGGGUAAAGAAGCACCGGCUAACUACGUG